This is a long non-coding RNA of Pectinophora gossypiella (pink bollworm), 946 nucleotides long. RefSeq lists it as uncharacterized. Lineage: Eukaryota; Metazoa; Arthropoda; Insecta; Lepidoptera; Gelechiidae. The transcript is spliced from 6 exons. The record is from RefSeq and is a predicted model, not a curated record.
AAAAACUGCGUAGGAGAUCAUUAAUACAAAAGUAUUAUAUAAACCAAACCUGAUGUUGCCAGCUCCUUCAAUGAAUGCAGCAGUGUGACAGCCAGCAAUCAAAAGUAACAAGAUAUCGAGGAAAUGCAGAAGGCAAAAAACUGCAUAGGAGAUCAUUAAUACAAUAGUAUUAUAUAAACCAAGCCUGAUGUUGGCCGCUCAUUCAAAGAAUGCAGCAGUGUGACAGCCAGCAAUCAAAAGUAACAAGAUGUCGAGGAAAUGCAGAGUGCAAUAAACUUUGUAGGAGAUUAUGAUUGCAAUAGAAUAAAAUCGACCAAGCCUGAAGUUCUUCAAUGCACGCAGCAGUGUGACAGCCAGCAAUCAAAAGUUACAAGAUAUCGAGGAGAUUAUGAUUGCAAUAAAAUAAAAUCGACCAAGCCUGAAGUUCUUCAAUGCACGCAGCAGUGUGACAGCCAGCAAUCAAAAGUUACAAGAUAUCGAGGAAAUGCAGAAGGCAAAAAACUGCGUAGGAGAUUAUUAAUACAAUAGUAUUAUAUCAACCAAGCCUGAUGUCGGUAGCUUCUUCAAUGAAUGCAGCAGUGUGACAGCCAGCAAUCAAUAGUGAUAGUGACAAGAAUCUAGGAAAUACAGAAGGCAAAGAAGCAGAUGUCAUCAAAGAAGAUCUUUGUUCCUGCAAUGUUUCCGCAGACGAUACAUCCAACAGAGCGAAGUGGAAGGAAAAGACUCGGAAAAAAGACCCCACCACCAUAUGGGAACAAUGCAAGGGAGAGAGAGAGAAUAUAAUUUUAUAUUUUUAUUUUUUGAUAACAUAAAAUAAACCAACAAUAUCCUACACAUUUUUUUUAUUUCUUUUUGUGUCUGUCUUAAUAGUUAUUACAAAUCUGUGAUGCGAAACAAACUAUACGAAAACGUCAAUCCACGUACAACGCCCGCGAAGCUGCUUUAG